GAACUGCAGUAUUACAGAAGAGGGCUUCAGUUCUCUUGCAUCAGCACUGAGAUCAAACCCCUCACACAUGAGAGUGCUGGUGCUGAAUGGGAGUAAAUCAGGAGACUCAGGAGUGAAGCAUCUUUCUUCUCUUCUGGAGGAUCCCAACUGUAAACUGAAGGAACUAUACCUUGGAAACUGCAGUAUUACAGAAGAGGGCUUCAGUUCUCUUGCAUUAGCACUGAGAUCAAACCCCUCACAAAUGAGACAGCUGUGGCUGAAUGGGAGUAAAGCAGGAGACUCAGGAGUGAAGCAUCUUUCUUCUCUUCUGGAGGAUCCCAACUGUAAACUGAAGAAACUAGACCUGUCAAACUGCAGUAUUACAGAUGAAGGCUUCAGAUCUUUAGCAUCAGCAGUGAGAUCAAACCCAUCAGCCCUCAGAUAUCUUUGGCUGGAUGGGAAUCACCCUGGACCCUCAGCACUGCAGCUGUUCUCUGAACUUGAGGAAGAUCCAAACUGUAAACAUAUCAUCAUAUAUGGACUCUCAUGAAUCCAUUCACAUUUUAUUCCACAUUAAAUAUUCCUCUACACUGUAAAAAAAGAAUAAUGACAUCUGAUGUAAAAAUGCUUUCUCUUUAGUUACUGGAAUGAUUAGUGACAUGUUGAAUCACUGCAUAUAUGAUAUAUAGUAGUUGUCCAACAGAUCCUUUCCACUGUACCUGUCUUUGU
This is a long non-coding RNA of Clupea harengus (Atlantic herring), 708 nucleotides long. RefSeq lists it as uncharacterized. Lineage: Eukaryota; Metazoa; Chordata; Actinopteri; Clupeiformes; Clupeidae. The record is from RefSeq and is a predicted model, not a curated record. The transcript has 3 exons.